UACAGAGGUCCCAAGCGUUGUUCGGAAUCACUGGGCUUAAAGGGCGCGUAGGCGGGCUGCCAAGUCAGGGGUGAAAGCCCACGGCUCAACCGUGGAAGUGCCUUUGAUACUGGCGGUCUCGAGGGAAGUAGGGGCGUGCGGAACUUCCGGUGGAGCGGUGAAAUGCGUAGAUAUCGGAAGGAACACCGGUGGCGAAAGCGGCGCGCUGGACUUCUACUGACGCUGAGGCGCGAAAGCCAGGGGAGCAAACGGG
RNAcentral lists this ribosomal RNA (253 nucleotides) under uncultured bacterium. Its description in RNAcentral is "partial 16S ribosomal RNA". It matches the Rfam family "Bacterial small subunit ribosomal RNA", at positions 524 to 776 of the family's 1533-position model. The record is from RNAcentral.